This 1123-nucleotide ribosomal RNA is filed under the name Pseudomonas plecoglossicida. RNAcentral describes it as "bacterial SSU rRNA". It matches the Rfam family "Bacterial small subunit ribosomal RNA", at positions 35 to 1184 of the family's 1533-position model. The record is from RNAcentral. Lineage: Bacteria; Pseudomonadati; Pseudomonadota; Gammaproteobacteria; Pseudomonadales; Pseudomonadaceae.
GCGGGGGCUGGGCCUAACACAUGCAAGUCGAGCGGAUGACGGGAGCUUGCUCCUUGAUUCAGCGGCGGACGGGUGAGUAAUGCCUAGGAAUCUGCCUGGUAGUGGGGGACAACGUUUCGAAAGGAACGCUAAUACCGCAUACGUCCUACGGGAGAAAGCAGGGGACCUUCGGGCCUUGCGCUAUCAGAUGAGCCUAGGUCGGAUUAGCUAGUUGGUGGGGUAAUGGCUCACCAAGGCGACGAUCCGUAACUGGUCUGAGAGGAUGAUCAGUCACACUGGAACUGAGACACGGUCCAGACUCCUACGGGAGGCAGCAGUGGGGAAUAUUGGACAAUGGGCGAAAGCCUGAUCCAGCCAUGCCGCGUGUGUGAAGAAGGUCUUCGGAUUGUAAAGCACUUUAAGUUGGGAGGAAGGGCAGUAAGCUAAUACCUUGCUGUUUUGACGUUACCGACAGAAUAAGCACCGGCUAACUCUGUGCCAGCACCCGCGGUAAUACAGAGGGUGCAAGCGUUAAUCGGAAUUACUGGGCGUAAAGCGCGCGUAGGUGGUUCGUUAAGUUGGAUGUGAAAGCCCCGGGCUCAACCUGGGAACUGCAUCCAAAACUGGCGAGCUAGAGUACGGUAGAGGGUGGUGGAAUUUCCUGUGUAGCGGUGAAAUGCGUAGAUAUAGGAAGGAACACCAGUGGCGAAGGCGACCACCUGGACUGAUACUGACACUGAGGUGCGAAAGCGUGGGGAGCAAACAGGAUUAGAUACCCUGAUAGUCCACGCCGUAACGAAUGUCAACUAGCCGUUGGAAUUCUGUGAGAUUUUAGUGGCCGCAGCUAACGCAUUAAGUUGACCCGCCUGGGGAGUACGGGCCGCAGAGGUAAAAACUCAAUGAAUUGACGGGGCGCCCGCACAAGCGUGGAGCAUGUGGUUAAUUCGAAGCACGCGAAGAUCUUACCAGGCCUUGACAUGCAAAGACUUCAGAGAUGAUGGUUGCCGUUCGGACUCUGACCAGUGCUGCAUGCUGUCGUCAGCUCGUGUCUGAAUUGUGAUAUUCCGUAACGAGCGCAUCCUUGUCCUAUACAGCAGUUAUGUGCACCUGAGACUGCGUACACCGGAGGAGGUUGAGAGUGACU